UUCCGGAGAGGGAGCCUGAGAAACGGCUACCACAUCCAAGGAAGGCAGCAGGCGCGCAAAUUACCCAAUCCCGACACGGGGAGGUAGUGACAAUAAAUACUGAUACAGGGCUCUUUUGGGUCUUGUAAUUGGAAUGAGUACAAUUUAAAUCCCUUAACGAGGAACAAUUGGAGGGCAAGUCUGGUGCCAGCAGCCGCGGUAAUUCCAGCUCCAAUAGCGUAUAUUAAAGUUGUUGCAGUUAAAAAGCUCGUAGUUGAACCUUGGGCCUGGCUGGCCGGUCCGCCUCACCGCGUGUACUGGUCCGGCCGGGCCUUUCCUUCUGGGGAGCCGCAUGCCCUUCACUGGGCGUGUUGGGGAACCAGGACUUUUACUUUGAAAAAAUUAGAGUGUUCAAAGCAGGCCUUUGCUCGAAUACAUUAGCAUGGAAUAAUAGAAUAGGACGUGCGGUUCUAUUUUGUUGGUUUCUAGGACCGCCGUAAUGAUUAAUAGGGAUAGUCGGGGGCAUCAGUAUUCAAUUGUCAGAGGUGAAAUUCUUGGAUUUAUUGAAGACUAACUACUGCGAAAGCAUUUGCCAAGGAUGUUUUCAUUAAUCAGUGAACGAAAGUUAGGGGAUCGAAGACGAUCAGAUACCGUCGUAGUCUUAACCAUAAACUAUGCCGACUAGGGAUCGGGCGAUGUUAUCAUUUUGACUCGCUCGGCACC
RNAcentral lists this ribosomal RNA (702 nucleotides) under Endoconidioma rosae-hissaricae. Its description in RNAcentral is "SSU rRNA". It matches the Rfam family "Eukaryotic small subunit ribosomal RNA", at positions 381 to 1087 of the family's 1831-position model. Lineage: Eukaryota; Fungi; Ascomycota; Dothideomycetes; Dothideales; Dothideaceae. The record is from RNAcentral.